RNAcentral lists this ribosomal RNA (460 nucleotides) under uncultured bacterium. RNAcentral describes it as "partial 16S ribosomal RNA". It matches the Rfam family "Bacterial small subunit ribosomal RNA", at positions 338 to 795 of the family's 1533-position model. The record is from RNAcentral.
CCUACGGGAGGCAGCAGUGAGGAAUAUUGGUCAAUGGACGCAAGUCUGAACCAGCCAUGCCGCGUGCAGGAUGACGGCUCUAUGAGUUGUAAACUGCUUUUGUACGAGGGUAAACCCCGAUACGUGUAUCGUGUUGAAAGUAUCGUACGAAUAAGGAUCGGCUAACUCCGUGCCAGCAGCCGCGGUAAUACGGAGGAUCCGAGCGUUAUCCGGAUUUAUUGGGUUUAAAGGGUGCGUAGGCGGUUUGAUAAGUUAGAGGUGAAAUGUCGGGGCUCAACCCCGAGACUGCCUCUAAUACUGUUGGACUAGAGAAUAGUUGCGGUAGGCGGAAUGUAUGGUGUAGCGGUGAAAUGCGUAGAGAUCAUACAGAACACCGAUGGCGAAGGCAGCUUACCAAACUAUAUCUGACGUUGAGGCACGAAAGCGUGGGUAGCAAACAGGAUUAGAUACCCGUGUAGUC